This 22-nucleotide non-coding RNA is filed under the name Arabidopsis thaliana (thale cress). Lineage: Eukaryota; Viridiplantae; Streptophyta; Magnoliopsida; Brassicales; Brassicaceae. The record is from RNAcentral.
GAUUGAUUGUUACUUUGUGCGA